Molecule: unclassified non-coding RNA, 231 nt
Filed under: rhizosphere metagenome
Description: partial ribosomal RNA internal transcribed spacer region
Source: RNAcentral
GUUGGUGAACCAGCGGAGGGAUCAUUACAAGAAGCCGAAAGGCUACUUCAAACCAUUGCGAACUCGUCCAAGUUGCUUCGGCGGCGCGGCACCCCUUAACGGGCGCGCCGCAGCCCUGCCCCUCCGGAGGUUCGGGGCGCCCGCCGGAGGUACGAAACUCUGUAUUAUAGUGGCAUCUCUGAGUGUAGAACAAAUAAGUUAAAACUUUCAACAACGGAUCUCUAGGUUCUG